GAAACGACUGCUAAGACUGGAUAGGAAAUAAAAAGGCAUCUUUUUAUUUUUAAAAGACCUUUUUCGGAAGGUAUGCUUAAAGAGGGGCUUGCGUCACAUUAGUUAGUUGGUUGGGUAAAGGCCUACCAAGACGAUGAUGUGUAGCUGGACUGAGAGGUUGAACAGCCACAUUGGGACUGAGACACGCCCAAACUCCUACGGGAGGCAGCAGUAGGGAAUUUUCGGCAAUGGAGGAAACUCUGACCGAGCAACGCCGCGUGAACGACGAAGUAUUUUGGUACGUAAAGUUCUUUUAUUAGGGAAGAAUAAAUGAUGGAAAAAUCAUUCUGACGGUACCUAAUGAAUAAGCCCCGGCUAACUAUGUGCCAGCAGCCGCGGUAAUACAUAGGGGGCAAGCGUUAUCCGGAAUUAUUGGGCGUAAAGGGUGCGUAGGCGGUUAAAUAAGUUUAUGGUCUAAGUGCAAUGCUCAACAUUGUGAUGCUAUAAAAACUGUUUAGCUAGAGUAAGAUAGAGGCAAGUGGAAUUCCAUGUGUAGUGGUAAAAUGCGUAAAUAUAUGGAGGAACACCAGAGGCGUAGGCGGCUUACUGGGUCUUUACUGACGCUGAUGCACGAAAGCGUGGGGAGCAAACAGGAUUAGAUACCCUGGUAGUCCACGCCGUAAACUAUGAGUACUAAGUGUCGGGGUUAAACUCGGUACUGAAGUUAACACAUUAAGUACUCCGCCUGAGUAGUACGAACGCAAGUAUGAAACUUAAAGGAAUUGACGGGAUCCCGCACAAGCGGUGGAUCAUGUUGUUUAAUUCGAAGAUACACGAAAAACCUUACCAGGUCUUGACAUACUCUGCAAAGCUAUAGAAAUAUAGUGGAGGUUAUCAGGGAUACAGGUGGUGCAUGGUUGUCGUCAGCUCGUGUCGUGAGAUGUUAGGUUAAGUUCUAAAACGAGCGCAACCCCUGUCGCUAAUUGCCAGCACGUUAUGGUGGGGACUUUAGCGAGACUGCCAAUGAAAAAUUGGAGGAAGGUGGGGAUUACGUCAAAUCAUCAUGCCCCUUAUGAUCUGGGCUACAAACGUGAUACAAUGGCUAUUACAAAGAGUAGCCGAAACGCGAGUUUUUGGCAAAUCUCAAAAAAAUAGUCUCAGUUCGGAUUGAAGUCUGCAACUCGACUUCAUGAAGUUGGAAUCGCUAGUAAUCGCGAAUCGGCAUGUCGCGGUGAAUACGUUCACGGGGUUUGUACACACCGCCCGUCA
RNAcentral lists this ribosomal RNA (1248 nucleotides) under Sugarcane phytoplasma (uncharacterized). RNAcentral describes it as "bacterial SSU rRNA". It matches the Rfam family "Bacterial small subunit ribosomal RNA", at positions 153 to 1399 of the family's 1533-position model. Lineage: Bacteria; Bacillati; Mycoplasmatota; Mollicutes; Acholeplasmatales; Acholeplasmataceae. The record is from RNAcentral.